RNAcentral lists this ribosomal RNA (510 nucleotides) under uncultured bacterium. RNAcentral's name for it is "bacterial SSU rRNA". It matches the Rfam family "Bacterial small subunit ribosomal RNA", at positions 28 to 531 of the family's 1533-position model. The record is from RNAcentral.
GAUGAACGCUAGCGGCAGGCUUAAUACAUGCAAGUCGAGGGGCAGCGCGGGUAGCAAUACCUGGCGGCGACCGGCAAACGGGUGCGGAACACGUACGCAACCUUCCCAUAACUGGUGAAUAGCCCUCCGAAAGGAGGAUUAAUACACCGUAAGAUAACGAAGAGGCAUCUCUUUGUUAUUAUAGCUACGGCGGUUUUGGAUGGGCGUGCGCCUGAUUAGGUAGUUGGCGGGGUAACGGCCCACCAAGCCUACGAUCAGUAACUGGUGUGAGAGCACGACCAGUCACACGGGCACUGAGACACGGGCCCGACUCCUACGGGAGGCAGCAGUAAGGAAUAUUGGUCAAUGGACGCAAGUCUGAACCAGCCAUGCCGCGUGAGGAUGAAGGUCCUCUGGAUUGUAAACUUCUUUUCUUCGGGAAUAAAAACUAGGGGUUCUCCUCAGCUUGAAGGUACCGAAGGAAUAAGCACCGGCUAACUCCGUGCCAGCAGCCGCGGUAAUGUCUGUACU